This 492-nucleotide ribosomal RNA is filed under the name uncultured bacterium. Its description in RNAcentral is "partial 16S ribosomal RNA". It matches the Rfam family "Bacterial small subunit ribosomal RNA", at positions 29 to 507 of the family's 1533-position model. The record is from RNAcentral.
AGUGAACGCUGGCGGUAGGCCUAACACAUGCAAGUCGAACGGCAGCACAGUAAGAGCUUGCUCUUACGGGUGGCGAGUGGCGGACGGGUGAGGAAUACAUCGGAAUCUACUUUUUCGUGGGGGAUAACGUAGGGAAACUUACGCUAAUACCGCAUACGACCUACGGGUGAAAGCAGGGGAUCUUCGGACCUUGCGCGAUUGAAUGAGCCGAUGUCGGAUUAGCUAGUUGGCGGGGUAAAGGCCCACCAAGGCGACGAUCCGUAGCUGGUCUGAGAGGAUGAUCGGCCACACUGGAACUGAGACACGGUCCAGACUCCUACGGGAGGCAGCAGUGGGGAAUAUUGGACAAUGGGCGCAAGCCUGAUCCAGCCACACCGCGUGGGUGAAGAAGGCCUUCGGGUUGUAAAGCCCUUUUGUUGGGAAAGAAAAGCAGCAGGUUAAUACCCCGCUGUUCUGACGGUACCCAAAGAAUAAGCACCGGCUAACUUCGUG